GGCCUUGUCAAGGCAGUAUUGGGUGAGUAUUGUGGACUCUUCUUGAAGUCGAAUUUGGUACUUGAACUGCAAUAUGUAUUGAAUUGUAAUGAAUGGUCCGAAAUUUUGGGGUUCUUUAGUUCGUCUUUUGUUAUUCAAUACUCAAUACUAGGUAAUUUCGUCUCUGACAUUGGAUUGCAGUUGAUUAGGGUUAUUACCGAUUGAGGUUUUAUAUAAUUUGCUAUCGAAUGAGCUUAAAUAUGGUCAAUUAAACUUUUCUUGAGUCUAUGCGGUGAAUUGUAGUGAAUUAACUUGGAGGUAAGGUUCAUCUUACUUUGUUUUGAUGCACCAAAAAAAAAAUUUACUUUGUUUCCAGUGGUGGAUGACGAG
RNAcentral lists this unclassified non-coding RNA (369 nucleotides) under Hevea brasiliensis (rubber tree). Lineage: Eukaryota; Viridiplantae; Streptophyta; Magnoliopsida; Malpighiales; Euphorbiaceae. The record is from RNAcentral.